GAAGAAUCUAGCGUAUCUGGUGGUAUGGGGUAUCCGUUAUGAAUCAUCCAUCUAACAGGAAGAUCUUUAUAGUUCAGUCCUGUGCUCGGGAGUUUAUAAAUUCCUUCUAAAAUAUCAAUGAAAUGAUCUGGAGGAUUAACGCGAUCAGGUACAGUAAUUCCAAUGCCUGCAAAGUACUCUUCAACUGUCUUUACUGGUCCAUGAUAUACGGUAAGGCCGCCCUUGGCUAGAAGUACCAAAUCGUCAAACAUUCUGAACAAAGAAUAGCUGAAAAAGGAAGUGAUUACUGAGAUAGGGUGUCAAAAUUAAAGCGAUUUGAAAGAUCAUCGUUAUGCUGGAGGAAAAACUACUUAAAGUUAUAUGAUUAUAAUUCCACAUGUUUUGUGAUUGCAAUAUGUUCAAUGAGUGCGAGGACAAACAAAAAGAUAAAGCAAUAGAUAAAAGACAACAUGAUAACCACCAAGGAAUGCAAAUGGAAGAAGAUGAAUAGAGUAAGACCAAAAAGACUUAGAGGCUAUCAUUCGCAACAUUACCUUGGCUGGUGCACCACCAUGCAUACGUUCACUCCUUCAAUAGCUUCCCGACGAGUAGCUCUGAGUAACAAUUGAGAUGAAGAGCUAUCCAAACCAGAAGUUGGUUCAUCUAAGAUUAACAAAGAAGGUUCCAUAACCAUUUCCCGCCCAACGUUGACUCUCUUCCUCUGACCCCCAGAGAUGCCUCGCUUCUCCACUGUCCCCACGAGAGAAUCUCUCACAGGUUGCAAUCCCAGGGACUCUAUCACUCUUUCAACAACUAAAACCUUUUCUGGUUUAGGCAAAUCAGAUGCCAGUCUGGAAGAGUGAUUCAACAAAGAAGAGUAGACUAGAGUCAGUCGUCAUAUGAAUAUAGUAGUAUCGAAAAAACAGCAGGCUAACAAGUGAAAGCAGUAGCAAAAAAGCAAACUAACUUCCUUUUGUAUAAUAUAAGCUGGUCAUAUCUCUGCCUAGUUUGUGUUUUGACAACAAUAGAUGGCACGGAGGUUUCAGACCCUCACAUGAAUACUUCGAAAGUUUCAUUGACAAGUGUCAGUCAGUGGUUCCUGAUAAUAAGGGUAUGCAUGUAGCAGUCCAGAGUACGAAGGAAAAAGAAAUGCAUGACCUUUCCAAAGAACAAACUACUGGAAGCUGUCACCACCAAAACGUAGACUGAUGGUUGAAGUCAUGAAACUUAUGAAGUAAAAGAAUGCCAUGCGAAAAAUGAUGUUAUAUGAAUGCAUAGAUUCGUAAUAAUAGAACUACAAUAGCAUACCUGCACCGAGCACUAAACCAAAGAUUCUCCUCCACAGUUAAAUUUUCAUGUACUAUGUCAUCUUGAGGUACAAAGCCAAUGAUUUUCUUGUAUGACUGCACUGGUUCAGGCUUCCCAUUUAUGAGAAUCACUCCGAUCACGGUACACCCAGCAGCCUUCCCAGUCAAUGCAGAAAGAAACGUUGUCUUUCCAGCACCAGAUGGACCCAUAACAGCCGAAACACGGCCAGGUGAUAAUUUCCCUGAUACACACCUCAAUAGAUGCUUGGUUUUACCCUUCAAAGUAAGUGUCAAAUCUUUGAAACACACCUCAAUAGGAGGUCUAGUUCUAAUCUCAAUAGCACUUGCCAUCGAGAUUACACCAGAAAAUGUCAAAUCCUUAUUCUGCUCCUGCAAUGCUUUUUCUUUCUCAAUUUGACCAUACGCAUAUUUAAAGAAGAAGCAAGUUAUCGGAGAAGCUUGUUGGUUAGUUGUAACUUGUUAGAGAUGAAAAUCUUAAAAAAAAGGGCAGCGUGGUGCACUAAAGCUACCGCUAUUCACGGUGUCCGGGGAAGGGCUCCACCACAAGGGUGUAUUGUACGCAGUCUUACCUUGCAUUUCUACCAAGCUGUUUCCAAGGCUUGAACCCGUGACCUCCUGGUCACAUGGCAGCAACUUUACCAGCCUUAGCUUACGAGAAGAAAAUGUAAAAUGUUAUAUCUCGUGCGAUCUGUCCUUCUUUUGGGUUCAGUUAUGUUGUUUAUGCAGCCGUUACUCUACUAUUAUUUGAAAAAGAUAAGUAGAAAUUAUGUCCAGACUAAUCCCUCCCAUUUCCUCCUCCUUCUGUAAGGAAACAGCGGACAUUAGCUAAAGACAAAUCUGUUCUUUCUGUCAUGCAUUUCUCACUUUACUUCUCCCGCGUCAAGCCUAAAAAGUUUAAGACAUGCACGACCAUACUAGCUAACAAUCCAGGAACAUUAUGACAUUAUCUCAAAAGUAAAACCUUAUAUAGAUAAUCAAUAUUUGCACAGCCUAGGAGUGAGGAGAUGACUUACAAAAAACAUAAUACCAUAAGCUGUGAUAUUUUGAUUACUUGACUUUGAUUCACAAAUAGCUAACUUAUAGCAGCCUGCAUGUCCAUAAUAAUAGAUAAAUUCUUGAUCACGAUGAUGAUGAUGAUGGCAAUGUUAGAGCAUAAAAUAUUUCCAAAAAUAGAAAAGAACAUGUAGUGAGUUGUUACUUGAUACUAUAACUUUUCAUCUUGACGUAUUAUCUUCAAGUUACAAAUAACACAUAUUCAGUAACAUGACAACUAUAAGAUGUACCAUCUUUCUCAUAGUAGAGAAGAACGCGAGGCACAUCCCACUACCAAAAUAGUAAUCUUGUUAACGUGGAUGUCCAACAUGCUCUUAUCUUGAUACGUCUUGCUCAUUUCUAGUAAGAAUUAUUGGAUAUGCAUCUAGCAUAUUUUAACAGUACUAGAAACCUAGGCAAAGAAGACAAUUGGAUAUAGUUUUCCUUUUUGUAUUUCACUUGGAACCUGACAAGCUGCUACGUCACGCCAAGGAGAUUUCUUUUUUCCAGUGUGUGUGUGUGUUCUUUUUCCUUUCGUAUUUUGCUUUAGAAAUAUGGUAAAAGUGAGACAACACAACCAAACAGGCAUUUUUACUAGUACGAUAUAUCUAAAAGGAUCAAAUAAGUCAUUAUUACGUGUUUAUUCAAAGUCAAAGAUAAGAAAUGAAGCAACAAAGAACCUAAUACAGAGACAAAACAGACUGUCACAUGAGAUGAAGACUUACUUGUUUGAGACGUAGAACCAGUUCUACAGUAAUGCCUGGAAAAAAAGCAAAAACAAACAGUAUGAUAAGCGAAUGGAUUAGCAUGAGCUUCUAAUAUGAGCAAAAGGAUGAACAAGUUAAACAGAAAUAGCAUUUUGCGGGGAAAGAGAAAGCACGGUGAGAUACAUAUUCUCCGGUUUUGGGAUAAAUAUAAUUACCCUUUAUUGCAAGGUAAUUUCAGGGCAGUAGUUGGACAGUAAUAUCCUGAUGGACAAAAGAUUUCAGUAGUACUCCGAACAUCAGCCCAAACUUCUGCUCCACUGCAACUAUGAUUUAUCUGCCCUGGAGGAGGUUGAUAAUGGUACCUGCAUAUUUUGAGACAGGAAAUAUGAGUUGAAGGAUGCAAAAAGAAUACGGUCAAGUAAGAAUAAGAACUACAUAAGAUGUACGAAACUUAUGGGUCACACACACCAGUCUCGCUAUUGAGUGUUGAAAGAGGGCAAAACGCGCCUAGUGGACAAGCUUCAACCAGAAAAUAGGAAAAUAAACAAACAUAAAACUGAUACGAACGAGAGAAUCAACUUAUAGAAUUAUGCCAAAGGUGCAACUUGUGAUUUUGCCAAAGCAAAUUGUUUGAGCACAUCUACUUCAGAUAGUGGCCAUGAUUUCAAUGACUAUAAGAUAAUAUUCUUGUAGAUACUUACGUAUCAUGCAGGUGAGACCACGAGGACAGAAGAAACCUUCACAACAAGGUUCACACUCAAGAAUUCUAAGUGGCAUUUUGUUUAAAUCAAGGUCAACCGGAUUGUCUCCAAUGCUACAAGCCCAUCCUGGCUCACAUCCAUUAACCCAUGAUGAUAGAUUACAAUUUGUGUAGGUUUCAGGUUACCUCUUCCACCGCCUUUCAUUAAAAGUUGAGAAUAGAACUUUAACUCCGGUGCUGUAUACAAGCGCCUUAGUAUAUCACCUAUUCAACAACCGAAGACGUUGUGAAUACGAAAAUAAAGACAGUAGAACCCUGGAUUAUCAUGAUGUACAACGUAUACAACAUUAUGAACUAGAAUAGCAGACCUCGAACUAGAAAAAAUACAACCUCAGAGAAUCUUAACCAGAAAAUUAGUACCUUGUGUUUUUUUAAUGCAAUCUGUUAAAAAAUCUGUGUUCUCGCUGAAAUUAAAAGCUUUAUUCCAUUCAGCAUCCCUACAACACGAUCAGAAUUCAUCAACUGAAAAUUAGCUUUCUCUUUAGACGAAUUGUCAAAGACAACACUAUCAAAGAUGAAUUGUCAAAGACAACGCUAUCACAACUAAAGUGAAACAAGAUUUUGGAAAAGCUUUUGCCGGUUGGCUUAAUGACAUAGGAAUUGAAGAAUAUAACCUUUCCUAAAGCAACAUAAGAGACCGUUUUCGAGACAAUUUUUCAAUUAUGAGACAAUUGUUACUGCUUAUGUUUCCCUAAAUGCUGUGAUUAUGCUUUCCUUGAGCUAAGGGUCUAUUGGAGACAACCUCACCUGCACCCAAAGUCGGGUAAGGUCGUGUACACUCUACAGUCUCCAUAACGCCACUUGUGGGAUUAUACUGGGUUGGGUAUCGCUAUUGUUGUUGUCGUUCUAAAUUUCAGCAAGUAUUUGUUAGCAAGGUUAAUCCUAAUGCAAGAAGAAUUUAGACAGAAUGGAGAAGGAUUCACCAGACCUUCUAGCAUUUGCAAUUAUAAAUACUUCCAAGGCCCACUUUGAAUAGAUAUAAUCUCCAACUAUCGCAGUGAACUUACUGUCCUUGCUUGGUACAAGGGUCAAGACAACUGGAAGCAACACCGACCACUGAAAGACACAUCAGUUUGUUAGUAGAGAAUUGCGGCAAUAGAGGAUAACGGUUGGAGUUGAUACGUAUAGUAAGAUCAAAGUACUGAGUACACACCAGUUGAGCUUGACCAGGUUCAAAGUAGAUGGCAAGUGCAUAAGCUAUCCCAGUAACACAAACACAAAGCAAGACGAGAUAGUUAUCCAAAAUUGAAGAUCUUGGAUUGUUGAAGAAGUAGAACAUUGAUAGAUAAACUGCAGGCUUUACAAUAGUAUUGAUAUGUUCAACGGUAUCCUUAGCCAUAAAGUAUGCCAAACUGCUCAUGCCAGAUGCACUCUCUCUCCAGUAGUGUAAUUUAUCUAGAGAAAAUGACCUCAAAGACGCAAUCUUGAUGAGAAGAGCUGCAAAACAUUUUGGAAGAUUAGAACUUAGGUAAAGUGAAAAAUGGUAAUGAAGAUUUAUGAAACUAACAGUACCAAUCUUUCAUAUAAGUUUGUAAAACCAUAAAAAGAUACAAUACCAAAAUAAGGACUAUGCGCAGGGUCUAGGGAAGGGCCCGACCACAAGGAUCUAGUGUACGCAGCCUCACUUACAUUUCUGUCAGAGGCUGUUUCUAAGGCUUGAACCCGUGAUCUCCUGGUCACAUGGAAGCAACUUUACCAGUUACUCCAAGGCUCCCCUUCAACUCAUUAUUGGUACCAACAUUUACAAAUUGUCAGCAUUAACAAAGAAGCGGAAUUACAAGUGAUAACAUAGAGAUGAAGUGCAUGAUUUUAAAAUCGGGAACUUUUUCUCCUAAAUUUGCAACCAUAGCUAAUCAACUGUCUUUAAGUCAUCAGUCCUCUUAAAGAUAAAAAGCCUGAAGUAUGUACACUGUUCAGAGGUUUUGAACUUACGAACUGCAAUGACGGUGUAAAGGUACCCCAUAAAUCCAAAUGUUUCAUCACUCACGUCAGCAAGUGUUCCCAAACAGAUUCCAGCAAGUAAUAGAAUAAGACAAUCAACUGCUUGUAGCCUGGCUUCUCGCAAUCGCUGCUUCCCGACUCUGACAAUGUGAAGUAUAUCAUACAUGUCAACCAUCAAAAUGAAUGCAAACUCAAAAACAUUUGUAAAUCAACUAAAACUUUCACAUGAAUACUCCCCCCUAAGUGUCCAUAGAAGCUUCUCAGUUGGUCAUGCUACUUAGAAGCUCCAGCUGUGCGCGGGGUUUGGGGAAGGGCCGGACCAUAAGGGUCUGUUUUAAGUAGCCUCACGUUACAUUUCUGCAAGGGACUGUUUCUACGGCUUGAACCCGUGACCUACUGGUCACAUCGCAGCAACUUUACCGGUUACUCCAAGGCUCCCCUAACAUAUAAAAGAAAGAAGUACAGCAGAGAAAUCCCAAACAUUGGCAUAUAGGAUUGCAAGCACAAAAUAAACACAUAGACAUAGACAUCUUGAAAAAUAAUUAGAAGGUAUACAACUGAAAAGGAGAGAAACUUAUAUAUACCUAUAUACACAUGCAUCUUGAACAUUAAUUAGAAGGCAUACAAGUGAAAAGGAGAGAAACUUGUUAUUACCUUACAAGGAAAUACUUAUAUUGAAGCAAUACACCAGGGGUUUUCCGAUGGGACAAGUCCGACCAUGCCAAAAAGUUGAAUCUCAUGCGGUCCUUCUUCUGUGCAACAUUGGAUUUGAUAUAUGACCACAGAUCUCUAGAUUGAUCGGAGGUAGCAGCUGCAGGACUUGCUCCAUCAGCUGAAUUUUCUCCAACCGAAGAUGCUUGUGAUCCAGAAGAAUCUAGCAUAUCUGGUGGUAUGGGGUAUCCGUUAUGAAUCAUCCAUCUAACAGGAAGAUCUUUAUAGUUCAGUCCUGUGCUCGGGAGUUUAUAAAUUCCUUCUAAAAUAUCAAUGAAACGAUCAGGAGGAUUAAUGCGAUCAGGUACAGUUAUUCCAAUGCCUGCAAAGUAAGCUUCAACUGUCUUUACUGGUCCAUGAUAUACUGUAAGGCCACCCUUGGCUAGAAGUACCAAAUCAUCAAACAUUCUGAACAAAGAAUA
Molecule: long non-coding RNA, 6880 nt
Filed under: Capsicum annuum
Lineage: Eukaryota; Viridiplantae; Streptophyta; Magnoliopsida; Solanales; Solanaceae
Description: long non-coding RNA (CANN_LNC008653)
Source: RNAcentral